AGCACGGCUNUAAACCGUGC
RNAcentral lists this unclassified non-coding RNA (20 nucleotides) under synthetic construct. RNAcentral describes it as "5'-R(*AP*GP*CP*AP*CP*GP*GP*CP*UP*(PQ1)P*UP*AP*AP*AP*CP*CP*GP*UP*GP*C)-3' from synthetic construct (PDB 1Q2S, chain E)". The record is from RNAcentral.